Molecule: unclassified non-coding RNA, 298 nt
Filed under: soil metagenome
Description: partial contains 5.8S ribosomal RNA, internal transcribed spacer 2, and large subunit ribosomal RNA
Rfam family: 5.8S ribosomal RNA (bases 1-120)
Source: RNAcentral
GAUGAAGAACGUAGCGAAAUGCGAUAAAUAAUGUGAAUUGCAGAAUUCCGUGAAUCAUCGAGUCUUUGAACGCACAUUGCACUCCUUGGUAUUCCGAGGAGUACGCCUGUUCGAGCGUCAUUACACUCUCAAGCGCUGCUUGGAUUUGAAUCACCGCCGUGGCAGGAUUCCAAUAUCGUUGGCAAUUGACCAUCUGUGAUGACUCACGCCGAGUUAAUUCGCCGGAACACUUCCUUUCAGUUGACCUCGGAUCAGGCGGGGAUACCCGCUGAACUUAAGCAUAUCAAUAAGCGGAGGA